This 489-nucleotide ribosomal RNA is filed under the name Triticum aestivum (bread wheat). RNAcentral describes it as "partial small subunit ribosomal RNA". Lineage: Eukaryota; Viridiplantae; Streptophyta; Magnoliopsida; Poales; Poaceae. The record is from RNAcentral.
AUGGACAUGUACUUGAGGUUGUCGGGAGCAAGGCGAGAUGGUGGUGCUCAUCUUCACCUGCUACUCUGCUCGAGCUCCUACAUGUGCUCGAUUUUAAGAACAGAAGAAGUUCAAGAUAUCCCACUGUGUCACCACCCGCCCAUUGCAGCCGCCACUCAAGAAACAAUCAAAUUUGGGGCAUGCAAGAAGAGGAAGAUAUUGCAAGAGCAGGGACGUGGUCAGGGGGAAGGGAAAGGGGGAGGCUGGCGACCUGGGCACCCUGGACCAGGGGAGCCACAAUUGAGUGAGCUGCUGGGGGAGGAGCAGAUGCAGCUUGGAGCUGAGAGAGAUGGAAUGAUCAAGGAGGAUUUGGGGAAAACCACUAUUGAACAGGAAAAUUCAAAUACCCCCUGUGUUACCACCCGCCCAUUGCAGCCGCCACUCAAGAAACAGUCAAAUUUCGGGCACACAAGAGGAAGAGAUUGCAAGAGGGCGUGCAGAUGCAGUUAG